GUUAGUUGCCAGCGGGGUAAAUGCCCGGGAUCUCUAACGAAACUGCCGGCGUAAACCGGAGGAAGGUGGGGAUGACGUCAAAUCAGCACGGCCCUUAUGUCCAGGGCUACACACGUGUUACAAUGGCCGAUACAACGGGCAGCCACCUGGUGACAGGGAGCUAAUCCUAAAAGUCGGUCUCAGUUCGGAUCGAAGUCUGCAACCCGACUUCGUGAAGCUGGAUUCGCUAGUAAUCGCAGAUCAGCCAUGCUGCGGUGAAUACGUUCCCGGGCCUU
Molecule: ribosomal RNA, 275 nt
Filed under: uncultured Marinilabiliaceae bacterium
Lineage: Bacteria; Pseudomonadati; Bacteroidota; Bacteroidia; Marinilabiliales; Marinilabiliaceae
Description: partial 16S ribosomal RNA
Rfam family: Bacterial small subunit ribosomal RNA
Source: RNAcentral